AAAGUGGAGCAAUCCAUGAGUAAAGUGGCGACCGGGUGAGUAACACGUGACUAACCUACCUCCGAGUGGGGAAUAACUCCGGGAAACCGGGGCUAAUACCGCAUAACAUCGCAAGAUCAAAGCAGCAAUGCGCUGGGAGAGGGGGUCGCGGCUGAUUAGCUAGUUGGCGGGGUAACGGCCCACCAAGGCGAAGAUCAGUAGCCGGCUUGAGAGAGUGACCGGCCACAUUGGGACUGAGACACGGCCCAAACUCCUACGGGAGGCAGCAGUGGGGAAUAUUGCACAAUGGGGGAAACCCUGAUGCAGCGACGCCGCGUGAGUGAAGAAGUAUUUCGGUAUGUAAAGCUCUAUCAGCAGGGAAGAAAAUGACGGUACCUGACUAAGAAGCCCCGGCUAACUACGUGCCAGCAGCCGCGGUAAUACGUAGGGGGCAAGCGUUAUCCGGAUUUAUUGGGUUUAAAGGGUGCGUAGGCGGGCUAUUAAGUCAGUGGUGAAAGCCCCAAGCUUAACUUGGGAAUUGCCAUUGAUACUGAUGGUCUUGAGUACACUUGAAGUGGGCGGAAUGUGUCAUGUAGCGGUGAAAUGCUUAGAUAUGACACAGAACACCGAUUGCGAAGGCAGCUCACUAAAUUGUAACUGACGCUGAGGCACGAAAGCGUGGGGAUCAAACAGGAUUAGAUACCCUGGUAGUCCACGCCCUAAACGAUGAUUACUCGAUGUGUGCAAUACACCGUACGCGUCUGAGCGAAAGCAUUAAGUAAUCCACCUGGGGAGUACGACCGCAAGGUUGAAACUCAAAGG
Molecule: ribosomal RNA, 801 nt
Filed under: uncultured bacterium
Lineage: Bacteria
Description: bacterial SSU rRNA
Rfam family: Bacterial small subunit ribosomal RNA
Source: RNAcentral